UAUUUCCCAACCCAAAAUGACUAAUUAAUAAUCGAGUAUUUGCUCUUCAGUAGUGAUUAAUUAAACUAAUCCUAAAACAAAUAAUAUCAAUACACUCUACUAAAGGAUGAACUUGAUCUUUAAUACCAAUCUCACUAAUCCUAUAGAUCGGAAGAGUGU
Long non-coding RNA from Octodon degus (degu), 159 nucleotides. RefSeq lists it as uncharacterized. The record is from RefSeq and is a predicted model, not a curated record. The transcript has 3 exons. Lineage: Eukaryota; Metazoa; Chordata; Mammalia; Rodentia; Octodontidae.